UCUCUGGCCUCAAGUAAUUUCUUCCUACACUGGCUGCCCCCAAGAAUAUAACAGAAAGCAAUCUACAAAGCCAGCAAGCUUGGUGGGAAGAUGCCUAAACCAGCCAAUAGGGGAUUCUAACAAGAGGGGUGUAUUCUAAGGCCCGCCCCACUCAGAGUUUGGUGCUUAUCUCCACUUGUAAUCCACAGACAGGGGAAAGUUAGGCAGGUAAAAGUCUGGUCUGUCUUGUGGGGCCUCAUACAGUAGGUGGGCUCAGAGGCAGUUUAACUCCACACGUAACACCUGGAGUGGUAGAGAAGCAAGGACAAUGUGUCUGAUAACAAGGAUCUGUCACCUCUCAGGGGUAAGGUGCUGUAUCCCUGAAGUGACCAUUUUGCAUCCAGGUGCUAUGAGGUUCAUCUUCUCCCUUCCAGCUGAUCUCAAAGGACUUUACAAAGGAAGAAAAGCAUCUUUUUAAAGAUGGAGAAACAGAGGCUAGCCUGAAGUCACACAGCAGAUGAGGGAGAUAGCCAGUAAUAGAACCUAGGUUUCCUGAUUCCUAAGCCAGUUCUCUAGCCACUAGACAACACUGUCUUCUCUGUAAGGUCUCUUUUAAGCAUUAUUAUUUUAUGGUCCAAAAAGCCCCCAAGCCCCUCUUUCUUCCAAAAAACAAUAAGAGCAGGUUAUUAGGAGUCAAGGGCUUGGGUUUUAUUCCUGCCACUGUGAGGUUUUGGGCAAGCUACUUAGGUCAUAAGUUUCAAAGA
Molecule: long non-coding RNA, 743 nt
Organism: Mauremys reevesii (Reeves's turtle)
Lineage: Eukaryota; Metazoa; Chordata; Testudines; Geoemydidae
Exons: 3
Source: RefSeq, a predicted model, not a curated record